Carassius carassius (crucian carp) is the source of this 808-nucleotide long non-coding RNA. RefSeq lists it as uncharacterized. Lineage: Eukaryota; Metazoa; Chordata; Actinopteri; Cypriniformes; Cyprinidae. The transcript is spliced from 2 exons. The record is from RefSeq and is a predicted model, not a curated record.
AGACAGCCUGCAGCAAGGCUCAGGAGAGAUACUUCACUUUCAUUUCUGGAAAAGCAAACAGAACAAUACCAUAUUCAAAAGAUUCCCAGGAGGUCUUCUUCUGUACUUUCUGACUGCAGUCAGGUACAGGACUCUUGAAAGAUGUGAAUGACACUGUCAUAAGCAGGUGGUGGAGUCUGUCUGGGUAGGAAACCCCUUAGACUGCCCUUCCCAAGCCAGAAGGACUCCGCUGGUUCUGCACUAAAUGGAUCUGUGAUGUUAGGAAGUAAUGCAGCUUGGUUAUCAUCCUCUGUUUCAUUACUGGUCUUCUUGGUCUUUUUUGGUGGCGGCCGAAAAGUAGAGUUCUGAAAGCUAGGGCUUCUACCCAGCAGCUCAUUGGGGUCCACAGAGGUCUGUCUGUGGAGGGGCAAAACCACUCUUCCUGCAGAUUCACUGUUCUUGUCGAAGCCGUGACUCUUGUAAUGUCUGAGGUGGCAGUGCUGAUUACGUGUGCCUUUAGAUUCUAACGACUGGGUUUGACGUCUGGUGAUCCUGACUGAAGCCCUCCGUCUUGACAUCCAUGUAAGGAGGAGGAAAAUCAAGAUCCCGAUGAGCAGACCAAUUAAUAUCGACAAGCAGAACGCCAGGAUGAGCUCCUCUGGGUGGAAAGGUUAUUGUAUUUUGAGUAUAUAAUAUCAAUACUAAAAACAAUCUUAAAUACAUAUUGAAUAAUUGAGUUCAAUGUUCGCUUAAAUUUAUACACACACACCAAGAAAAAUAUAUUUUUGUUAAGUUGUAAAUAAAACAUAUUACUGGUUUUUCGACUUAA